This 549-nucleotide ribosomal RNA is filed under the name uncultured Glomus. RNAcentral's name for it is "SSU rRNA". It matches the Rfam family "Eukaryotic small subunit ribosomal RNA", at positions 548 to 1098 of the family's 1831-position model. Lineage: Eukaryota; Fungi; Glomeromycota; Glomeromycetes; Glomerales; Glomeraceae. The record is from RNAcentral.
UUGGAGGGCAAGUCUGGUGCCAGCAGCCGCGGUAAUUCCGGCUCCAAUAGCGUAUAUUAAAGUUGUUGCAGUUAAAAAGCUCGUAGUUGAAUUUCGGGAUUAGCAGGUCGGUCGUGCCACUGGUACGUACUGGUUUUGCUGAUUCCUCCCUCUUGACGAGCCGUAAUGCCAUUAAUUUGGUGUUGCGGGGAAUCAGGACUGUUACUUUGAAAAAAUUAGAGUGUUUAAAGCAGGCAUGCGCUUGAAUACAUUAGCAUGGAAUAAUGAAAUAGGACGUUCGAUCCUAUUUUGUUGGUUUCUAGGAUUGACGUAAUGAUUAAUAGGGAUAGUUGGGGGCAUUAGUAUUCAAUUGUCAGAGGUGAAAUUCUUGGAUUUAUUGAAGACUAACUACUGCGAAAGCAUUUGCCAAGGAUGUUUUCAUUAGUCAAGAACGAAAGUUAGGGGAUCGAAGACGAUCAGAUACCGUCGUAGUCUUAACCAUAAACUAUGCCGACUAGGGAUCGGAUGAUGUUAAUUUUUUAAUGACUCAUUCGGCGCCUUACGGGAAAC